GGAUCAGUGUGGUGUAGUGGUUUGAGUAUUGGACUAUAACUCUAGAGGCCAGGGUUUGAUUCCCCACUUUGCCA
Molecule: transfer RNA, 74 nt
Filed under: Phrynosoma platyrhinos (Desert horned lizard)
Lineage: Eukaryota; Metazoa; Chordata; Lepidosauria; Squamata; Phrynosomatidae
Description: tRNA-OTHER
Source: RNAcentral